This 226-nucleotide ribosomal RNA is filed under the name Clostridioides difficile. RNAcentral describes it as "partial 23S ribosomal RNA". It matches the Rfam family "Bacterial large subunit ribosomal RNA", at positions 357 to 585 of the family's 2925-position model. Lineage: Bacteria; Bacillati; Bacillota; Clostridia; Peptostreptococcales; Peptostreptococcaceae. The record is from RNAcentral.
ACAGAAGGUAAUAGUCCUGUAUGUUAAACGAGAAGACUUCAGAUAUGAUCCAGAGUACCACGGGACACGUGAAACCCUGUGGGAAGCAGGAGGGACCCCCCUCCAAGGCUAAAUACUACCUAGUGACCGAUAGCGUAUAGUACCGUGAGGGAAAGGUGAAAAGAACCCCGGGAGGGGAGUGAAAUAGAACCUGAAACCCUGCACUUACAAGCUGUGGAAGCACAUU